RNAcentral lists this ribosomal RNA (632 nucleotides) under Lactococcus lactis subsp. lactis. RNAcentral describes it as "bacterial SSU rRNA". It matches the Rfam family "Bacterial small subunit ribosomal RNA", at positions 64 to 679 of the family's 1533-position model. The record is from RNAcentral. Lineage: Bacteria; Bacillati; Bacillota; Bacilli; Lactobacillales; Streptococcaceae.
GAGCGCUGAAGGUUGGUACUUGUACCGACUGGAUGAGCAGCGAACGGGUGAGUAACGCGUGGGGAAUCUGCCUUUGAGCGGGGGACAACAUUUGGAAACGAAUGCUAAUACCGCAUAAAAACUUUAAACACAAGUUUUAAGUUUGAAAGAUGCAAUUGCAUCACUCAAAGAUGAUCCCGCGUUGUAUUAGCUAGUUGGUGAGGUAAAGGCUCACCAAGGCGAUGAUACAUAGCCGACCUGAGAGGGUGAUCGGCCACAUUGGGACUGAGACACGGCCCAAACUCCUACGGGAGGCAGCAGUAGGGAAUCUUCGGCAAUGGACGAAAGUCUGACCGAGCAACGCCGCGUGAGUGAAGAAGGUUUUCGGAUCGUAAAACUCUGUUGGUAGAGAAGAACGUUGGUGAGAGUGGAAAGCUCAUCAAGUGACGGUAACUACCCAGAAAGGGACGGCUAACUACGUGCCAGCAGCCGCGGUAAUACGUAGGUCCCGAGCGUUGUCCGGAUUUAUUGGGCGUAAAGCGAGCGCAGGUGGUUUAUUAAGUCUGGUGUAAAAGGCAGUGGCUCAACCAUUGUAUGCAUUGGAAACUGGUAGACUUGAGUGCAGGAGAGGAGAGUGGAAUUCCAUGUGUAGC